This 118-nucleotide ribosomal RNA is filed under the name Lepisosteus oculatus (spotted gar). The record is from RNAcentral. Lineage: Eukaryota; Metazoa; Chordata; Actinopteri; Semionotiformes; Lepisosteidae.
GCCAGCAGUCAUAUCACUCUGCAACUCACAACUGGCAACCCACUGAAGCUAAGCAGGUGUGAGCCUGGUCAGUACCUGGAUGGAGACCUCCUGGGAAAAACUAAGGUUGCUGCNNNNN